RNAcentral lists this long non-coding RNA (5063 nucleotides) under Capsella rubella. RNAcentral's name for it is "long non-coding RNA (CRUB_LNC002511)". The record is from RNAcentral. Lineage: Eukaryota; Viridiplantae; Streptophyta; Magnoliopsida; Brassicales; Brassicaceae.
AGAAUUGAGAUUGAGAGAUUGAGAGCUUUAGGUUUUGAGAGAUUUUCCUAAAGUAAUAAAAGAGAGUGAUUCUUUUAUAUUUGAUCUUGAUCUUUUAAUCUUUGAUUCUAGAUUUGGUAUCAGAGCAAAACAAAACCUCAUACUAAUUGAAAGCAUACUUGAAAGCAUGAGCGAGAUUGUUCCUGUUACAAAACCGAGUGGAAGCUCCUCUUCCAUACAAUGUCCUAUGCUCUCCUCCUGCAACUAUACGGUUUGGGCCAUCAAGAUGAAAUCCUGUCUCAAAGUGCACAAAGCUUGGGACAUCAUUGAAACAGUGACAGAAGACGUCGAAAAGAAUGAUAUGGCAAUCGCUUUGCUAUUUCAAUCCAUACCCGAGUCGCUUGUUCUUCAAUUUGGUGGGCUUACUUCGGCGAAGCAAGUUUGGGAAUCGAUCCAAACAAAGUAUGUUGGAGCAGAGCGGGUUAAGGAGGCUCGUUUGCAAACCCUUAUGGCUGAGUUCGAUCGACUCACAAUGAAGGAAACAGAGAGCAUCGAUGACUUCAGCAGCAAACUUGCUGAGAUUGCUUCAAAGUCAUCCGCCUUGGGAGAGAUCAUCGAAGAGCCAAAGAUCGUGAAGAAGUUCCUUAAAAGUAUCCCUCGAAGAAAGUAUAUUCACAUUGUUGCAUCUCUUGAGCAAGUUCUCGACUUGAAUAAGACAAGCUUUGAGGAGAUUGUUGGUCGUCUGAAGGUGUACGAAGAGCGAGUGCGAGACGAUGACAUUGAUCAAGAUGAACAAAGCAAGCUUAUGUAUUCAAACGCUGAGAAUACAUACUAUUCCAGAGAUGGUAGCGGGGAUACAAGAGGACGUGGAAGAGGGAGUCGAGGUUCUUCAAGAGGACGAGGUCGUGGAAGGAAUGGUGGAAGAGAUUUGUCGCAAAUAACUUGCUUUCGAUGCGAUAAACUUGGCCACUAUGCUUCCUCAUGUCCUGAUCGCCUACUUAAGUUGCAAGAAGCACAAGAGAAUGAGAAGGUGGAUGCUAAAGACACACAAACAGCAGAUGAACUCAUGUUACAUGAGACAGCAGAUGAACUCAUGUUACAUGAGACUGUCUACUUGAAUGAGAAGCAUUGCGUGCCCAGCAAGUUUGAGACGAAUUCUGAUGAAGAAAACAUUUGGUACCUUGACAAUGGGGCAAGCAACCAUAUGACUGGAGAUAGACGGUAUUUUGAUUCAAUGGAUAGCUCAGUCACCGGAACAGUGAGGUUCGGAGAUGAUUCAAGAAUCGAUAUCAAAGGGAAAGGAACGAUUGCAUUUGUUGAUUUGCAUGGAACAUCAAGAAUGCUUACCGACGUAUACUUUAUACCUGACCUAAAAAGCAAUAUCGUCAGCCUUGGACAAGCUACGGAAUCCGGAUGCACCAUAGAACUCAAAUAAGAUUACCUAACUAUGUGUGACCGUGAGGGAAAGCUUCUAGUAAAGGCAAAAAGGUCCAAGAAUCGCUUGUACAAAGUCCGGAUGAUGCUACGAGACAAUGCGUGUUUGUAUCUAACAAGCAUGACCGAGACAAGUAAAUGGCAUGCUCGUAUGGGUCAUGUGAAUCUCACCACUUUAAAAGCAAUGUUGGACAAGGAAUUGGUUCUAGGAGUUCCAAACAUUACUAUUGAGAAAGAGGUGUGUAGCUCGUGUCUUCUCGGAAAACAGACCCGACAAGUUUUUCCACAAGCAACAAGCUAUAGAGCAACAAAACUUCUUGAACUAGUCCAUGGUGAUCUCUGUGGUCCAAUAACACCAAGUACAAGUGCUGGAAAUAGGUAUAUUUUUGUACUUAUUGAUGAUCACUCUCGCUACAUGUGGAGCAUUCUUCUAAAAGAAAAAGGAGAUGCUUUCUCUAAGUUCAAGAACUUUAAAACUAUGGUGGAGAAGGAAACGGGAGAGAAGAUUCAGACUUUUAGAACGGAUCGAGGAGGAGAAUUCGUGUCAAUAGAGUUUAACUCUUAUUGUGAGGAACAUGGCAUUAAAAGGCAUCUAACCGCUCCUUACACACCACAACAAAAUGGUGUAGUGGAAAGAAGGAACAGAACAAUGAUGGAGAUGACAAGAAGCAUGUUAAAACAUAUGCGAAUGCCUAACUACCUUUGGGGAGAAGCCAUUCGACACACGACUUAUCUCUUGAACCGGGUCUUAACACGAGCGCUUAAGGAACAAACACCAUAUGAAUCGUUUCGAUCAAAGAAACCUGAUGUCGAGCAUGUACGAAUCUUCGGGUGUAUCGCUUAUGCUAAGAUAGACAAGCCACACUUGAAGAAAUUGGAUGAUCGGACACGUAUUCUCAUACACCUAGGGACUGAGCCAGGUUCAAAGGCAUACCGCUUGCUUGACCCUAAAACAAGGAAAAUUGUGGUAAGUCGCGAUGUAGUGUUCGAUGAGACAAAGGGCUGGGAAUGGAACCAUGAUGAUGCAGNNNNNNNNNNNNNNNNNNNNNNNNNNNNNNNNNNNNNNNNNNNNNNNNNNNNNNNNNNNNNNNNNNNNNNNNNNNNNNNNNNNNNNNNNNNNNNNNNNNNAACUGGAAAUCAUGGCCUUCAUGAUUUUGGAGAAAGAAGUUGUACGAAUAAUCAAAUUGAACCAAGAAACGAGGAAGAAGAGGAAGAAGCAGAGGAUCAUGAUACUACAGAAGAAGAUGAAGCGGAGGAGAUAAGUAGUUCACCAAUUCUAAGAAGAUCACAGAGAGAAAGGAGAAUGCCAACUUAUCUUAACGAUUACUCUUUGCUACUUGAAAGGGAGUUAUCGUUACUUGCUCUUAAUGAUGAGCCAAGAAGUUUUCAAGAAGCUAAAGACUCUAAGGAAUGGUUACAUGCUUGUCAAGAAGAGAUUAACUCCAUAGAGAGGUUUAAGGUGUGGAAUCUGGUUGACAUGCCAAUAGGAGUCAAGCCAAUCAGACUGAAAUGGGUUUUUAAGAUAAAAAGAAACUCGGAUGGAAGUAUCAAUAAACACAAGGCUCGAUUGGUCGCAAAGGGGUAUGUUCAACAGUUUGGAGUUGAUUUCGACGAAGUAUUUGCUCCAGUAGCAAGAGUAGAGACGAUCAGAUUUCUUAUCAAGCUUGCAGCCGCACAUGGAUGGCAGAUACAUCACCUCGACGUAAAGACGGCCUUUCUUCAUGGAGAGCUUAAAGAAAAUGUGUAUGUUUAUCAACCAGAUGGUUUUGAGAUCAAGGGGAGUGAAGAGAAGGUGUACAAACUAAACAAAGCAUUAUAUGGUUUAAGACAAGCACCGAGGGCAUGGAACAACAAGCUUAAUAAACUUCUUGUAGAGCUGAAAUUUACCAAGUGCAGCAAGGAACCUACCGUAUAUCGAAAACAAGUUUGUGAGGAUCUCUUGAUCGUGGCUGUUUAUGUUGAUGAUCUCUUGGUCACAGGUACAAGCUUGGAAGUGAUAAGUCAGUUCAAAACAGAGAUGUCUUCUAGCUUUGAGAUGAGUGACCUCGGAGUAUUGUCAUACUACUUAGGAAUCGAAGUAAUACAAAACAAUGAGGGAAUUACUUUGAGUCAAACCCGAUAUGCACACAAGAUCUUGGAAGAAGCUGGUAUGAAAGACUGUAAUCUUGUGCAUACUCCGAUGGAAGUAGGUUUAAAAUUGUCCAAGUCACAACACGAGAGAGAAGUUGAUGCAACGACUUAUCGGAAACUCGUCGGAUGCUUUAGAUAUCUGUUGCACACAAGACCAGACCUAUCAUAUGCUGUGGGAGUCUUAAGUAGAUAUAUGCAAAGUCCUAGGGAGUCACAUUCAGCAGCAAUGAAGCAUUGUCUUAGGUAUCUCAAAGGAACAACAUCGCUUGGUUUAGUUUACAAAAGAUGCACAAGCAUACCCAAUCUCGUUGGCUAUAGUGACAGUAGUCAUAAUGUUGAUCCGGAUGAUGGUAAAAGCACGGCUGGUCAUGUGUUCUACUUUGGAGAUAGUCCAAUAUCAUGGUGUUCACAAAAGCAAGAGACUGUUGCAUUAUCUUCAUGUGAAGCGGAGUUUAUGGGAGGAACCGAGGCAGCCAAGCAAGCCAUUUGGCUAGGAGAUCUUCUAAGUGAAAUCACAGGAAACUUGAGUGAGAAGGUAACCAUACGGAUAGACAACCGAUCCGCCAUUGCUAUCACUAAAAAUCCGGUGUUUCAUGGGCGUAGUAAGCACAUCUAUAGGCGUUAUCACUUCAUAAGGGAGUGUAUUGAAAAUGGCCAAAUUGAUGUUGAACAUGUUCCGGGGAGUGAGCAAAAGGCGGACAUUUUAACUAAGGCACUUGGAAGAAUCAAGUUCAAGGAAAUGAGAGAGCUCAUUGGAGUUCAAGACUUGAAGAGUGAUGAGAUCAAGCUUAAAGGGGAGAAUGUUGACUUAAGCUUGAAGUAAGCUUGGAGUGCAAGCAUAAGAAGAUUAGGAUUAGGUUUUAUAUAUUUAGGAGUUUAUCUAAAUAUAUGUUUUGGUGUUAUCUCCUAAUUAGAAUAGGAGUUAUAGACUAAUUCUUUUCUUAUAUAAGGAGAUGUCAAGGUGUGACAUAACUUGUGAGAAUUGAGAUUGAGAGAUUGAGAGCUUUAGAUUUUGAGAGAUUUUCCUAAAGUAAUAAAAGAGAGUGAUUCUUUUAUAUUUGAUCUUGAUCUUUUAAUCUUUGAUUCUAGACCCAACAUAUCAUCGCACUGGAUUGUGGAGAUAUUGAGAUUGCUAGUAACGAUAGUAACACUCGACCAUUUUGUUCUCGAUGCUCUCGACGUUGCAUAGAACCUGUGGUGUAUAGGAGGGAAAAUGAAUAUUUUUGUACUUUGAUUUGUACGAUGUAGUGAAGCAAGAAACACUUACAUGAGAUCAUGUAACUUGUAUGAGAGAGAUCAAGCUUGUACCAAGGAAAAUAUUUGUUUGAAUAUUUAAUUUCUAAAUUAAAUGUGUAAUAUUUUGUGAGAUCAUGUUUGAGUAUUUGAUCCAAAACUUUUCUGGAAUCUUAGGCAACAACAUCUUCCUUGCCACCUAUUUCUUUUGGUUGAUAUGGAAGAACAUAUAUGGUUCCAUGGUUUGAUUAUGUUUAUUUAUCAUGUUUAUUUAUUUUCACAACAAA